AUGAGAUGAGGAUACCGAUGACGAGUCAGAUUCGAGUUAUUCGAUGUUGACACAUCUUUAUAAUACAUUCAUGCCUAAACUGAUC
This 85-nucleotide small nucleolar RNA is filed under the name Spizellomyces punctatus DAOM BR117. The record is from RNAcentral. Lineage: Eukaryota; Fungi; Chytridiomycota; Chytridiomycetes; Spizellomycetales; Spizellomycetaceae.